RNAcentral lists this ribosomal RNA (260 nucleotides) under uncultured bacterium. Its description in RNAcentral is "partial 16S ribosomal RNA". It matches the Rfam family "Bacterial small subunit ribosomal RNA", at positions 1241 to 1500 of the family's 1533-position model. The record is from RNAcentral.
AAAGAGAGGCAAAGCCGCGAGGCAGAGCAAAUCUCAAAAAAGCCGUCCCAGUUCGGAUUGCAGGCUGCAACCCGCCUGCAUGAAGUUGGAAUCGCUAGUAAUCGCGGAUCAGCAUGCCGCGGUGAAUACGUUCCCGGGCCUUGUACACACCGCCCGUCACACCAUGAGAGUCGGGAACACCCGAAGUCCGUAGUCUGACCGCAAGGGGGACGCGGCCGAAGGUGGGUUCGAUAAUUGGGGUGAAGUCGUAACAAGGUAAC